AAGUCUUAUAGUACUCUUUUUAUUUUUCAGAUCAACUUAGGAAGGAAAAUGGUAAACUUUUAUGACUCUACAAAAUAUGAUCUCCCUAUUAACCGUUUCAUAAGAAGUCAUAUAUUACUCUUUAUUUUUCAGAUCUUCUUAGGAAGGAAAAUGAUCAACUUGGGGAGGAAAAUGGAAUAUUGCAAAAGGAAAUUGAUGAGAGGAAAGCUCAAUUUAAGAAUGGCUGGCAGAAGUCAUCGUUGUAUCCUGGUGAGUAUGUUGCACUGAAGAUGAGUCUAAGAUAGACAGUUAAGCUCGUAAAUUCUAUAAAACAUUGGGCUACUAACUACCACAUGACAGAGAAAUACAUACAUACAUAUAUAUAUAUAUAUAUAUAGAGAGAGAGAGAGAGAGAGAGAAGUGUAUGUAUAUAUAUGUGCUUGCAACUUCUGGUCCAUAGAAAACAUAGCAAGAAAGAUAAUUUUUUAGUGUUUUUCUUUUCGCCUUUUCUCACCUGCCUCUCACAAGACAGAAGUUAAUUAAACCAGAUAUUAAGAAAUGAAAAAAGUAUAAUUUUCUCUUUUGUGAUUUUUAUUCAUUCUCACUAUAUUACAACUUCAGUUCCUUGCCUAACUCAAAAACAUAAAUUUUUUUCUCUAAUUUUUUCCACCGGUAUUGGAUUUUAUCAAAUGAUUUUUCUGUGCCUAUUGAGAUGAUUAUGCUAUGCUGUCCUUUAUUUUAUUAGUAUGGUUUAUUAUAUGAAUUGAUUUUUACAUGUUAAGCUGAUCUUGCAUUCUGGGAACUAAUCCCACUUGGCGGUGUGUGUAAUCAUUUUUGCAUGGCUGUUAUAUUAAAUUUACUAGUAUGUUAUUGAGAGUUUUGCAUCUGUAUUCGUGAAGGAUAUUUGUGAUGUCUUUGGUUUUAGUACCAGGGUGAUACUAGCCUCAGGAUGAUAAGGGAAAUAUUCUACCCACUUCUAUUUUCUAGAAGAUUUUGUUGAAGCUGGUAUUUUCUGUCCUUUAAAGGUUUGAUAAAACUCACCAGUAAAAUCAUCUGGGCCUGGGAAUGAAUUCGCAUAAAUUUUCAAUUCAAUUAUUUUACUUGUUAUAAGUCUUUCCAGAUUUUCUAUUUCUUAAGCCAUUUUUAGUAAUUUGCGUAUCUUGGAGAAUUUGUGUAGUUCGUCUAAGUUUAAUUUGUCAGCUAUGGAUUUUAAUAGAAGUUUCAUUUGAGCUUUCUAAAUUCUGUAGAUUCAAUAGUGAUCUCAUCAAUAUGUGGUUUCUCAUUCUUAUUGAGCAAUCUAGUAAAAUUUGCUGAUUUCCUAAAAAAGCAAAAUCUGUUUCAGUGAUUUUUUUCCUAAUAAAUUUUGUUUUCUUUCAUUGAUUUCUAACCUAAUCUUUAUUAUUUCAUUAUUUGAUUGCUCUAAGCUUCGUUCACUCUUCUCUUUUCAGUCUUUUCAUGGAGAAACUUAGGCUAUUGGUUUAAGAUAAUACUUUUUCUCUACUUUGGACAAUUCAAGCUCCAAAUUUCCCUGUAGGUAUUACUUUUAGCUGCAUCCAAUAAAGUUUGGUAGAUAGUGUUCUCAUUUUAAUUCAAUUCAAAAUAUUUUUAAAAUUUUCUUUUGAUUUUUUUAUCCACAGAUUGUUUAUAAAUAUAUCAAUAUCCAAAUAUUGCUAAAUAAGAAAUUUUCUUCUUUUUUGAUUCCUAAUUUAAUUUUAUUGUAACCAGAGAUCAUCUUUUUUACAGCUGUCUUUUUAUUAAUCGCUUUAAAUAUUUUUUCAUGAAUGAGCGUUUCUCAGUUUGAUGUGUGCCUUUGUCAAUUUCCACCAUUGCAAAGUGAUCAUUUUUUUAUAAUUUUUCCAGUUUUAAUUGUUGCUUUUGGGGAUAGGAUUUAGGCUUCUCAUUCAUUCCCUUCCAGUUAGUUUCAUGCAUCAAUAACUAUUUCCUAAGUAGAACUCUAGAUAUAUUUGUCUAGCGUUUUUCCCUAUAUGUCUUCUGUAUGGUUGCUCACUUGAAGCUACCCAGUAUAACUGUAAAAAUUCCAUCAUCUUGAUCUUUGCUUAUUCUUGACUUUCUUAAGUCAUUUUGUUCAAUAAAGAAAUUCCACUAGUGCCUUAUGCUAAAAUUGCACAUUUAAUUUCAUUUCUUAUUUUAGGUGACCUAUGAAAGCCAUUGUCAUACUUGUUCUAAAAAGGCCAAGAUUGUAAAUAUUUUAAAGUUUAUGGGCCAUAUGGUCUCUGUCACAAUUACUCAACUGUGCCUUUUUAGCACAAAAGCAACCAUAGACAAUGCAUAAAGAGAUAGCAUGGUUGUGUUACAAUAAAACUAUUUACACUGACAGAUGGGCUGGAUUUGUCUCCUGGACUAACACAGGAACUGACUCUGGAUCUAGAAAAAGUCACUUUUAGAACCCUGAAAAAUCCACCCAUUUCUGGAGUUUUUCAUUUAUUUUGAUUAUGUUUUAUAUUAAAUAUGUAUUUAAAAGACAAAUAGUUCUUAAAAUAAAUGGUAAUAACAGAUCCAGUGGAUACUCUCUUUUCAAGUUCAUUCCUAUAGAUCCUGUUUAGGGCACAAGAUAUAUUGUCUAAAUGAUUAUAGAAAAAAAGUUUUAGAACUGUUUUGUCUCUUCUUAUCAUGGCUGUCUCUAUAUGCAGUCAGGUUUAUCUGUUUCGUCACUCUUACCACCUAAGCAUUGAACUAAGACUGCACUUUUUAAUUGUUGGUUGCAGUUUUGCACUUUCAUUUAUUAUGGCACUAUCUGCAUUGAGCAGUGUAAUGAACUUUAAUUUUUAUAAAAAUCAACUCAUAUCUCUCUGGUUUAACCUCUUGCAUACAAAUUAAUAUGAGUGUAUCUAGGUCUGUGAUUCUCCUGGGCAACUCUAUUCAAAAUAGUAGCUCUGAGAACUAGUUUUUUUCCAGUCUUCUGUCUUCUCCAUUUCUAGGGCCUUAUAAUUCUGGCAUUGGGUGGGAAAGUGUUAGAAUGGGAAUGAAAAAAAAAUCAAGUGAACUACUUUAUUGUCCAACCUAGAAAUGAUAUGGUUGCCUGCUGAGCACAUUGUAAUGACCAUAACUCAGUUGUAUCAUCUCACCUAAAGACGAUGAAGGUGGUGAGGGUUGGUAUGUAAUUCUACUCUUUUUUAAGAAGAGGAUAACUGCUUGUAGUCUGCACUACAUAAUAUAUAAGUUAGAGGGAUUAGUUCUUAUGAGAGCAUUUAAUAAGAAAAGCAGUGGAGGAGUUCCCGUUGUGGUGCAGUGGUUAACGAAUCCGACUAGGAACCAUGAGGUUGCGGGUUCAGUCCCUGCCCUUGCUCAGUGGGUUAACGAUCCGGCGUUGCCGUGAGCUGUGGUGUAGGUUGCAGACGCAGCUCGGAUCCCGCAUUGCUGUGGCUCUGGCGUAGGCCGGUGGCUACAGCUCCGAUUCAACCCCUAGCCUGGGAACCUCCAUAUGCCACGGGAGCGGCCCAAGAAAUAGCAACAACAACAACAACAACAA
This 3469-nucleotide long non-coding RNA is filed under the name Sus scrofa (pig). RNAcentral's name for it is "lncRNA (ENSSSCG00000045043.2)". Lineage: Eukaryota; Metazoa; Chordata; Mammalia; Artiodactyla; Suidae. The record is from RNAcentral.